This 253-nucleotide ribosomal RNA is filed under the name uncultured bacterium. Its description in RNAcentral is "partial 16S ribosomal RNA". It matches the Rfam family "Bacterial small subunit ribosomal RNA", at positions 524 to 776 of the family's 1533-position model. The record is from RNAcentral.
UACGGGGGGAGCAAGCGUUGUUCGGAAUUACUGGGCGUAAAGGGCUCGUAGGCGGCCAACUAAGUCAGACGUGAAAUCCCUCGGCUUAACCGGGGAACUGCAUCCGAUACUGGAUGGCUUGAGUUCGGGAGAGGGAUGCGGAAUUCCAGGUGUAGCGGUGAAAUGCGUAGAUAUCUGGAGGAACACCGGUGGCGAAGGCGGCAUCCUGGACCGACACUGACGCUGAGGAGCGAAAGCGUGGGGAGCAAACAGG